Mycena leptocephala is the source of this 99-nucleotide non-coding RNA. The record is from the annotation of a GenBank genome assembly. Lineage: Eukaryota; Fungi; Basidiomycota; Agaricomycetes; Agaricales; Mycenaceae.
GACUCGGUGGCGGAUGGUCCGCAUCCACAACUCAUGAUUGAUUCUGAAAUUUGUUGUAAUUGGAUGUGGAAGUCGCCUGUUCGAAUCAGGCCCGAGUCA